AUGCAAGUUCUCAUGGACCCAGUGUUUUGGAAAGCAGCAGAAAAUCUCAUGGAUCCAGUGUUUAGGAAAGCAGCAGAUAAAGGAAAUAUAGUUAGCCUACAAGAGUUUGUCGCCGUCAAACCCAACACAAUUUACUCGACGACAAAGGCUGAGAAAAACACAGCACUUCACAUCGCGGCGUCAGAAGGCCACACUUUGUUUGUCCAUCAUUUCCUCCUCCUUGUAGGCACAAAUAUGGAGCUCAUGGUCAGUCAAAACAAUGAUGGCGAUACGCCACUGCACCUGGCGGUGAGAGCGGGCCAUCUAGAAGUGGUCGAGCACCUGAUUCUAUAUUUGACGUGGGCAAGGGGAAUCGAUGCCAACUUAAAGGAGCCUACCACAAUGUUAAAUGGUAAAGGAAAUACACCGAUGCAUGAUGCACUGUCUCAUCGACAAUUGGACAUUGCACUAAAGCUUUUGGAGGUCAACCCAAGAUGUGCAAAUGCAUUGAACACGGAAAUGCAAUCACCGCUUUACAUUGCUGCUAGGGAAGGCUAUCUCCAUGUUGUCAAGAGAAUUGCCGACCAGUUGUCGGCAGCCUCUGUCUCAACUAUUGGCACUCAUAUGACUGCUCUACACCAGGCUGUGUUGGCUGAUGACAUCGGGGCGCUGGAUAUCUUACUGGACAAUAUUGUGAAGCUGGUGGAGGUGACAGAUUCAUCAGGGAACAAUGCCCUGCACUAUGCCGCGUGCCACAACAGGGUACAUAUGAUAUCCAUGUUGCACAACAAAAACUCUACUCUAGCAUAUAUGAAGAACAUUGAGCAGCAUACCGCUCUACACAAGGCUGCUAAGUAUGGCUCAGUAGAGGCUGCCAGGGAGCUCAUGAAGCAGUGCCCUAAUACUGUUGAGAUGGUGGAUUUAUGUGGGAGAAAUGCUUUCCACAUCUCCAUCAUCAACAACAAGUUAAGAGUGCUCAAGUUGCUUCUUGAGUAUGAGCUGCCGGAGGAGAUCUUGAACAAACAGGAUAAUGAUGGCAACACUCCGCUGCAUCAUGCUGCCAAGCUCCACCAAGGGCCAAUACUGUGGUUAUUACUCAAUGAUCUGAGAAUCAACUCAUACAUGAUUAACAAUGAAGGGCAUACUCCAUGGGACGAUCAGAUUCUGAUAGAGCCCAUGACCCGAGAUUUGAGUGAUGCAAUUGACAAAGGAGACAUGCUAAGCCUGGUAAAUUUCCUUGCUUACUACCCGGAAAGGGUUUAUUCGGUGACACCCAUAAGAGGACACACGUCCCUCCACCUCACAGCAUCAAAAGGAGAUGAUUGGUUCGUUCAUCAUGUGCUUCUCUAUACGAACCGGAAUGUGGGGUUCAUUACUAGUAAGAACAGUGAUGGGGAUACACCAUUGCACCUGGCCGUGAGAGCAGGCCAUUUGGAAGUGGUACAUCAUUUGAUGCGCUAUUUGGCAUGGGCUAGGGAAAUCGAGCCCAACUUAAAGUUAAAGGAACCACUAAUAACUCCGGGCAAGGAAGGGAACACCUUGCUGCAUGAAGCAGUGAUACAUGGUAGGCACCUUGUGGCAGGCAGCCUGCUAAAUAGUUGCAAGGAGAUUAAAUUCACGGCUGCUGGAGAAUUUAUCAAGGAAUACCCUGAGUGUGCUGAUUUCUCAAGUAUAUAUGAUGUAUUCCUCAUCAUUAGGAAUGAUGAUGGGGACACAGCGCUGCACCUUGCAGUUAAAGCUGGAAAUUCUGUAUUUGUCGACAUGCUGAUCAAGUGUGCUAAAGUGAUGAACCUGGAACUUACGACUCGGUAUGCAAAGGGGCCUAUAACAAUCGCAAACAAACUAGGAAACACCCCAUUGCACGAUGCGGUGCUGCAGCGAAAGUCGGAUGUUGCACUUAAGCUGCUGGAGGCCAACCCAAGCUGUGCGCACAUGUUGAAUGCAGCAAUGCAGUCACCGUUCUACAUUGCUGUUCGGGACAGCCUUACAUAUGUUGUCAAGAAGAUUGCCGACCAGGGGCUGUACGUGGCUUUAAUGUCCACUCACGGCACUGUUCUGCACCAAUCCGUGUUGGGGAAUAACAUCCGGGCGCUGGAGAUCUUGCUGGACAGGUAUGAGGAGCUUGUGGAGUUGACAGAUUUAUCAGGGAACAAUGCUCUGCACUACGCCGCACAGCACAACAACGCACGCAUAGUAUCCAUUUUGCUCAACAAAUACUCCAAUCUAGCCUACAAGCAGAAUGACGAGAAGCAUACUCCUCUACACACAGCUGCUUACUAUGGCUCGGCAGAGGCUGCUAAAGAGCUGUUAAAGCAGUUUCCUGAUGCCAUUGAGAUGGUGGAUAAUACAAGGCAAAAUGCCCUCCAUAUAGCCGCCAGAAAUGACAAGGUGGACGUGCUUGAAUUGCUUCUCAAGUAUGUGCUGCCGGAGGAGAUUGUGAACCAACAGGAUAGGGACGGUAACACACCGCUGCAUCAUGCCGCCAAGCUCCUGAAUAGACAAUCAACAAUGUUGCUACUCAAUGAUCGGAGAGUCAAAUCGUGGCUGCUUAACCAAGAUGAAGAUACGGCGUUUGCCCUUUCUUGUAAAGCAGGAAUAUUUGAGAUGAACGUCGAUGAGAUGGACUUGUGGAAGGAACUGAAGAAGCAUGGGUCCAGAAGGCGCAGCCAGCAGGUAUUGACAGAGCAACAGUUUCGACCACUGUGGUACUGGGGAAGAAGGACGUACAUGGUUAGCAGUGUGGUCAUUAAUCUUUUCGUGGCUGCCAUGAUGAGCAUGGCCACCUUUGCAGUCACACUCGCCGUGCCUGGAGGGUACAGCCAACAGUCAGGCACCGCCAUUGUUGGACACCAUCUGGCCUUUAAGAUAUUCGCGGUCGGCAACACCAUCUCAAUGUGUGGCUCCACCUCCACUGUUCUUGUCCUCUGCUACUUGACGUGGCAGUAUCAUGGCCAGGUACUCACUAGAUUGAUUUGGGCCAACAUGCUGAUUGUCCUCUCCGUUCUAACAGCGAUCAUCUCAAUGUUGACUGCCGUAUACCUCACCAUCGCGCCAGUGUCGCGGUUUCUUGCCUACGCGGUGAUUGCCAUUGGUGCCAGCGCUCCUUUCUUGGCGUGCCUGAUACUGCGGAAGAGCCUGACUAGAAAGUCCCUGUUUACACGGUGGAUCGGCAUGAAACUGGUACCUCAAGGGGAGACAGGUCACAGGUGA
Molecule: ribosomal RNA, 3189 nt
Filed under: Triticum aestivum (bread wheat)
Lineage: Eukaryota; Viridiplantae; Streptophyta; Magnoliopsida; Poales; Poaceae
Description: partial small subunit ribosomal RNA
Source: RNAcentral